RNAcentral lists this ribosomal RNA (858 nucleotides) under Phlyctema coronillae. Its description in RNAcentral is "partial large subunit ribosomal RNA". It matches the Rfam family "Eukaryotic large subunit ribosomal RNA", at positions 63 to 938 of the family's 3401-position model. The record is from RNAcentral. Lineage: Eukaryota; Fungi; Ascomycota; Leotiomycetes; Helotiales; Dermateaceae.
AACCAACAGGGAUUACCUCAGUAACGGCGAGUGAAGCGGUAACAGCUCAAAUUUGAAAUCUGGGUCUUUCAGGCUCCGAGUUGUAAUUUGUAGAAGAUGCUUCGGGUGCGGCUCCGGUCUAAGUUCCUUGGAACAGGACGUCAUAGAGGGUGAGAAUCCCGUAUGUGAUCGGUCGCUUGCGCCCAUGUGAAGCUCUUUCGACGAGUCGAGUUGUUUGGGAAUGCAGCUCCAAAUGGGUGGUAUAUUUCAUCUAAAGCUAAAUAUUGGCCAGAGACCGAUAGCGCACAAGUAGAGUGAUCGAAAGAUGAAAAGCACUUUGGAAAGAGAGUUAAACAGUACGUGAAAUUGUUGAAAGGGAAGCGCUUGCAACCAGACUUGCGUGUUGUUGAUCAUCCGGGGUUCUCCCCGGUGCACUCGACCUCACUCAGGCCAGCAUCGGUUUCGGUGGUUGGAUAAAGGCCUUGGGAAUGUAGCUCCUCUCGGGGAGUGUUAUAGCCCUCGGUGCAAUGCAGCCUACCGGGACCGAGGACCGCGCUUCGGCUAGGAUGCUGGCGUAAUGGUUGUAAGCGACCCGUCUUGAAACACGGACCAAGGAGUCUAACAUCUAUGCGAGUGUUUGGGUGUCAAACCCAUACGCGUAAUGAAAGUGAACGGAGGUGAGAACCCUUAAGGGUGCAUCAUCGACCGAUCCUGAUGUCUUCGGAUGGAUUUGAGUAAGAGCAUAGCUGUUGGGACCCGAAAGAUGGUGAACUAUGCCUGAAUAGGGUGAAGCCAGAGGAAACUCUGGUGGAGGCUCGCAGCGGUUCUGACGUGCAAAUCGAUCGUCAAAUUUGGGUAUAGGGGCGAAAGACUAAUCGA